This 7421-nucleotide long non-coding RNA is filed under the name Nicotiana tabacum (common tobacco). Its description in RNAcentral is "long non-coding RNA (NTAB_LNC011424)". Lineage: Eukaryota; Viridiplantae; Streptophyta; Magnoliopsida; Solanales; Solanaceae. The record is from RNAcentral.
CAGGAAAAAGACUUGAUAGAAGGCUGCAUGAGUGGUCAGAAGUCAGUGGUAUUGGCAAGGUACGAAGCACCUUCUCAUGGUUAACUUUGUGAAUUCUUUAUAGGGGCAUGACAGGUGAUAGUUAUUUUUAAUCUUGUAAUGGUAACAAAGUGGGGUUACUUUGAUCUUCAGUAUUGUAUCCAUUUUUCUUAUUUACCGGUCUCCAUGUACCUUGCUCUAUCAGCACAUGAAUAUGUUGAAUCUGUGAUAUGAAACUUCCAAAAAUUAGUUGAAGGAAAAGUUCCGGAGGGUAGGUUUCAAAAACCCGAACGUGCCUCUCCUUGGCUUCCUAACUACUCCCCGUUGAUCCUCUUUCUCCAACCCCUCUCUCCUUCUUUCACCCAACCCAACUCAAAUGUAAGUUCAUCCUAUUCCACCUGUCCUGUUGUAGUUGCUACUGUACAUCCUAAGAUUCUACUCUUAAGAUUCUACAUCAGCCAGAUUCCCUUUUUCUUUUGCAUUUUCUACCUACUCCCAACUAAAGAAUUUUGGCCAUUGCUUUCCCCAUAUCAUAAUUUCCAUACUGAGAGAGAGAGAGAGAGAGAGAGAGAGAGAGAGAGAGAGAGAGAGAUUGGUUUUCUUGUUCCUUCUGCUAUUCUGCCGAUGCACUUGCAGUUGAUGAAACACUUCUUACUCUACCCAAGCAGUUAUCUUUAGGCCUGCAAUGAGGCAAGUACGCAAGGAGUUUGCCUUUCAAGCCUGCAAAACACAAGAAAUAAGCAUUAAGUAAUCAACCAAAAAAGUGAAGUACCAAAAAGCAGACAGGAAGGAGAAAAAGAAAGCUUUUGCAAAUUUGACUCACUCGUAAUCUAGAAGAAAAUAAUGAAGAAAGAUAGAUAUUUCUAGCUUGGCAAGAUCAUUUCCUGGGGACAAUCUGCUUCCCCCUCCAAAAGGAAGGAAAGGUCAUGCUUUGGGUGCAAGACCCUAAAGAUCAGGAAGGAAAAAGCAAAUAAAAGGAUAACAAAAUAACAAUAACAACCCAGUGUAUUCCCACAAGUGACGUCUGGGGAGGGUAUGAUGUACGCAACCUUACCCCUACCCUGGAAGGGUAGAGAGACUGUUUUCGGUAGACCCCCUUCUAAAAGAAAGGAUGGAAGGAGCACUGAUAGCAAGUAAUAACAAUACAAGAUAUUUAGAAAACUAAAUCCAAGAUAGCAAAGGAGAAGAUGAAAGAAGUUUUGAUAGCAAGUAAUAACAGUGCGAGAUAUGUAGUGAUAGCAAACUAAGGGAGUACUGAUGGCAAGUAAUAACAGUACAAGAUAUGUGGUAAUAACAAACUAAGGAUAAAAGGGAUACCAUACUAACACUAAUACUAUUGAACUAAGGAAGACAAAGGGAAACACUCAACUAUCUCUAAACCUUUACCCUAAUUCUUGACCUCCACACCCUCCUAUCAAGAGUCAUGUCCUCGGUUAGCUCAAGCUGUGCCAUGUCCCGUUUGAUCACCUCUCCCCAAGGCUUCUUUGGCCUACCUCUACCCUUCCUCUUAUCCCCAAAGGCCAACCUCUCACACCUCCUAACUGGGGCAUAUGUGUUUCUCCUUUUAACAUGCCCGUACCAUCUCAGCCUCGCCUCUCACAUCUUUUCCUCCACAUGGGCCACUCCCACCUUGUCCCGAAUAACUUCAUUCCCAAUUCUAUCUAACCUUGUAUGUCAACACAUCCAUCUCAACAUCCUCAUUUUAGCUACUUUCAUCUGCUGGAUAUGGGAGUUCUAAACUGGCCAGCACUCUGCCCCAUAGAACAUAGUCGGUCUAACCACUACCUUGUAGAACUUACCUUUAAGUUUUAACGACAUAUUCUCAUCGCACAGGACACCGGAAGCGAGCUUCCAUUUCAUCCACCCUGCUCCGAUACGAUGUGUGACAUCCUCAUAAAUCUCCCCAUCACUCUGUAUCACAGACCCCAUGUACUUUAAACUCUCUCUUGGGAAUGACUUGCGUAUCAAGCCUCACAUCCCCGUCUGCUUCCUGAGUAACACCGCUGAACUUGCACUCUAACUAUUUUGUCUUGGUCCUGCUCAACUUGAAACCUUUAGACUCAAGGGUAUGUCUCCAAACCUCCAGCCUCUCGUUAACACCACCACGUGUCUUAUCAAUCAGAACUAUGUCAUCUGCAAAUAACAUGCACCAAGGCACCUCCCCUCGAAUGAGUCGCGUCAAUGCGACCAUUGCCAACGAAAACAAAAACGGGCUAAGUGCUGAUCCCUGAUGCAACCCCAUUUCAAUUGGGAAGUAUUCAGAGUCUCCUCCUGCUGUCCUUACCCGUGUCUUAGCUCCAUCAUAUGUGUCCUGAAUCACUCGAAUAUACGCUACAAACAUUUCCUUAGCCUCCAAACAUCUCCAUAGAACCUCUCUCGGGACUUUGUCAUAAGCUUUCUCUAGGUCAAUGAAUACAUAUGCAAGGCCUUCUUCAUCACCCUAUACUGCUCCACCAAUUUCCUCACCAGGUGGAUGGCUUUAGUAGUCGAUCGUCCCCGGCAUGAAACCAAACUGGUUCGCGAAAAUGGACACACUCCUUCUCAUCCUCCCUUCUAUCACCUUCUCCCAAACUUUCAUCGUAUGGCUCAACGACUUGAUAUCCCCCUAUAGUUGUUGCAGUUUUGGAUAUAUCCCUUGUUCUUGUACAACGGAACCAUCGUACUCCACCUCCACUCUUCAGGCAUCUUCUUCGUCCUAAAAUGACGUUAAACGACCUAGAGAGCCAUCAAAAAAGAGUAACAAAUAGGAAAAGUAAGAACGUUUAUACUUUCUAAUUAGUGGUUGGUGUUAUAGGGUUGGGGUGGGGUGGGGGGUGGACAGGGUGUUCAGGGAGGUGAAACAGAUGGCUUUUAAACUUACAUCACAUCUAGAAGGAUUAAACUCCUUUGGGUCAUUGUAGAUGUCAGGAUCCAAGUGAACAAACCUAAACCAUACUAAAACUUUCCGUCCUCUUGGAAUAGUAUAUCCUGGAAACCAAGCGAGUCCAGUCCGUCAGCCACAAUGUGGUUUUACUGAAGCAAAAUGUAAGACGAACGAGAUUGUAACUUACCAUGUAUCGGAAGACUACAAGGGAGAAGGCAACAACACGAAGUGUUCCAUCGAUCACCUUCAAGAUUCAAGAUUACGGAUGAAUUUUGGUAGGUACAUGGAAUUGGCUGGAGAAAAAAAAACUACGCAUAGUGUUGAUAAUAAACAGAAAGUUACCUUUGACAGGUAGUCCAUUUGCCUAAUUUCUUUUAUUGUCACACCCUUCUGGUCAGUUGGCCUACUUUUUACAAUUGCCCCUUGCUCUGCCCAUUUUUAGAACAAAACAUGUUCUUGAGAAAUAACAAACUUUAAGGUGACUAUUUACUUUUUUGAAAUGAUGAAGUCUUGACUACCUUAGCUCUUUUAAAGACCUCGGGGUGUUUCUGCAGAACGAUAGUAACCCACAUUGUGAUGUGACCAGAAGAUUCAUGACCAGCAUUAAGGUACAUUAUUAGAACAUCAGAUUUCCUCAUCAUUCAGUUUUCUACCAUUCUCAUCUUCAACUUCCAACAGAAUAUUCAUAUCUCUUUCUUCUCUGUAGGCUCAUUUUGCUUCCUUCUCUCUUCUCUCAUCCGCGAUUGUUUGGAAGAUAGCCACAAGCUUUUUACGUGCCUGAAAUAUAUAUGCUUUCAAUUUUCUAGUAAAACAUAAUGUUGGAUGCUUUCAAUGUGAAAAGAGGACAUUUUCGUGUUUUUUCCAGAAAGAUUUAAGUUAUGUACAUUAACAAUGUAAAGAUUCUUUAUGUUAGAAAAUUUGGGAGAGCAAGACAACACAAAUGAACACUCAAAACUCACAAAGAAGAAAGUGGAGAAAAUGAUGAUUUCUAUUCAACUUGACUUGCUCUAAAUGGCUAGGAAUACAUGACUAUUUAUAGGAGAAAUCUUUCAUGUAUCUAGCCUACACUCAUGUAAACAUAAUAACUAAGUCCACAUCUCACAUCUUUCAAGGUACAUGGAUGAUACUACUAGAAAUUAUAUUUUUCAAAGUACAUCAAUGUGUUCAUACUCUAAUACAUGUACUAAAUUAAUAUUCUAGUUCAUGAACUUAUGCAAACAAAUGUAAACACAUGGAAAUAAGUUUAUAUUGUUCACAUUUCAACAUCCCCCCUAAACUUUUUUCAUCGCUCCAAGAGCCAUCCUUAGCUUUUGAAAGAGCUCAAUCUUCAACGGCUUGGUGAAAAUAUCCGCAAUUUUAUCUUGUGACUUCACGUGCUCAAGCUCCGUAACUUUAUUUUCAUGUCCUUCAACCUUGUAGCCAAAGAAUGAUCAAUGUAAACCUCUUCCUCCAAAACACCAUUCAAGAAAGCCGACUUCACAUCCAUUUGAUGAAAUUUUCAUUGAUUUUGAGCCGCCAAAGAAAUAAUAAAACGAAUUGUUUUGAAACGAGCAACCGGUGCAAAUACCUCAUCAUAGUCAAUACCGGCCUUUUGCUUGUAUCCCUUGGCAACCAAUCUUGGUUUGUACCUUUCCACCUUACCCUUGGAAUUUUUCUUUCACUUGUACACCCAUUUGAUUUCAAUGAUGCUUUUACCUUUUGGAAGUAUGGCUAAUUCCCAAGUAUCAUUCUUCUUGAUUGCCUUGAUUUCUUCUUCCAUAAUAUCUCUCCAUUUGACAUUUUGGGAAGCAUCUUCAUAAGUUAAAGGCUCAAUAUCCAUCAACAAACAAAAGUCAGUCAAAUCAUAUAAAUCUUUUCUUACCACUUUCGUAUUUUACUCAUGAAGACUUUUAGUUUUCUGAGGCACUUCACUUGAAGAACUUGAACUUAACUCAUCUUCUUCUUGAACUUGUGCUUGAGGUGUUGAAUGUGGUGUGAUAGGCUGCUCCGCAACUUCAUCAUCAUCUUCAUCAAAUAAAGGACUAAAAGAGUAGUCUUGCUCUUUAGUUUUCCAUUCAAAAGCAUUAUCUUCAUCAAACUCAACAUCUCUGCUUAUGGUGAUCUUGCAAUUUCUUGGGUUAUAUAAUUUAUAACUUUUAGAACUUUGAUCAUAACCAAUGAAAACAUACCUCACUUUUAUCAUCAAGCUUGGACUUCUUCUCAUCCGGCAUAUGUGCAUAGGCAAUGCUCCCAAAAACUCGCAAAUGACCAACUUUUGGCUUGAAACCGCUCCAAGCCUCUUGAGGUGUUUUGUCACGAUUACUCUUGGUGUGACACUGAUUUGACAAAUGCACUGCAUAUGCAACUGCUUCAGCCCAAAACUCCUUUGGCAUAUUUUUGCUCUUCAACAUACUCCGGGCCAUGUUGAGAAUAGUCCAUUUCUUUCUUUCCACGAUGCCAUUUUGUUGUGGUGAUCUUGGAACAGUCAAAAAGUGACGAAUUCCAUUAUUUUCACAAAAACCUUGAAUUCAUUUGAAGUGAAUUCUCCACUAUUAUCAGACCGCAAUGACUUAACUUGAUAGCCACUUUGUUUCUCCAUCAUGCUUUUGAAUUUUUUGAAAGUAUCAAACACCUCCGAUUUCACCUUCAAAAAAUACACCCAAGUUUUUCUAGAAAAAUCAUCAAUGAAAAGUAAAAAAUUACUUUUACCAAGUGAAGAUGACUUGAUUGGUCCGCACACAUCCAUGUGAAUCAAAUCCAAUGGGCAUAGUGCUUUAGUCAAAGACUCUUUAGGAAAGCUUUUUCUUUCUUGCUUUCCAAAGAGACAUCCUUCGCAAAUAUGGCUAGGAUGAUCAAUAGUUGGCAAUCCAUUCACCGUGCUUUCUUUCUUCAUCAACCUUAGACUAUCAAAAUUCACAUGACCAAAUCUCAUAUGUCAAAGCCAAGAUGAAUCUUUGGUACAUGAAAGCAAACACCUUGGAACAUCACAUUGAAGUUUCAAAACAAACAUUUUAUUAUUAGCCAUAGGAACUUUGACUAACAAUCUCCCAUUUUCAUCUCUCAGGAAUAACUUUUUAUCUUUCAAAUGAAUAUCAUUAUUUUUCUCCAAAAGUUGUCCCAAACAUAAAAUAUUACUUUUCAUCUCCGGUACAUACAAAACACUAAAAAUUAAUUGGUGACUACCAUCUUUCAAGCGAAUUAAAAUCGUACCUUUUCCUUUGAUUUUAACCCGCGAAGAGUCUCUAAAAGUUCAAUUCUUUUAGUUCUUCAAGCUCCCACAAAUAAAUUCUUCUUUCCACAAAUAUGGCUACUUGCACCGGAGUCAAGGUACCAUUGAUUUCUCUCUACACUUCUCUUUUGCAAGCGAGAACUAAAAUACCAUCUCCAUCUUCAUUUUUGCUCUCCAUAAUUUUUUUUUUCUCCACAUUAUUUUUACAUUCCUAGGAAAAUGAUCAAAUUUAUGACAAGUAUAAUACAAGCGGAUAUUAUGACAAGUAUAAUAUUCAAGCGGAAAAGUGAUCAAAUUUAUGACAAGUAUAGUAUUCAAAUUUCUUCUCUUUUGCAAGGGGAUACACCAAUUUCCAUAGUUCUCUUUUGUGAGCAUAGGAAUUUGAAAUGGAGUUCCAUUACUAUUUGUCAUUUUCUCUUCAAGUUUGGCUGUCUCUCAAACACACCGGCUCUGAUAUCACAAUGUUAGAAAAUUUGGGAGAGCAAGACAACAUAAAUGAAUGCUCAAAACCCACAAAGAAGAAAGUGGAGGAAAUGAUGAUUUCUAUUUAACUUGACUUGCUCCCAAUGGCUAGGAAUAUAUGGCUAUUUAUAGGAGAAAUCUUUUAUGUAUCUAGCCUAUCUAGCCUACACUACAUGUAAACAUAAUAACUAAGUCCACAUCUCACAUCUUUUAAGGUACAUGGAUGAUACUACUAGACAUUAUAUCUUCCAAAGUACAUCAAUGUGUUCAUACUCUAAAACAUGUACUAAAUUAAUAUUCUAGUUCAUGAACUAAUGUAAACACAUGAAAAUAAGUGAUAUUCGACUUAAUGUAUGCUUAUUUUGGUGUAUAUUUUCUCGCAUUAUGCUCAUGUCUCGUAGAUUUCGGAUGUAUAAUAUAAUGAUUUAUGCUAAUUUGUGAGAUUUCUAUGUGUAGGAAUCAUUCAGAUGCGAUUUGGGACGAAAGUGCGCGAAUUGCAGCGAAAAUGGGAAGAAAAGGCAGAAGUGCACAUUUGAGGGCUACUGGCAGCGUGGGGUAGGGGCGUUCAAAACCGAACCGAAACCGAAGCUUAAUGGCUUAUUGGUAUCGGGUUAACGGUUUAACGGACGGGGAACAGAUUGAAAUUUUUUUAUUAACGGCUUAUCGGUUUGAGGGCGGAUUAUUCAAUUUUCUUAACGGAUAAUCCGUUAACCCGUUAAGAAUAUAUAUAUAUAUUAAAUAUCAAAAACCCUUCCACUUCUUCCAGUGCUCUAUCUCUAAGUUCUAAUGCCUAAUUCCUAAAUAAUCAGAACUCUUACGUACUAUGCAUCAGAAGAUCCCAGGUUUGGCUUAGCUUAGCUUAUUCUCCCA